RNAcentral lists this ribosomal RNA (501 nucleotides) under Triticum aestivum (bread wheat). Its description in RNAcentral is "partial small subunit ribosomal RNA". The record is from RNAcentral. Lineage: Eukaryota; Viridiplantae; Streptophyta; Magnoliopsida; Poales; Poaceae.
AUGGCACCUCUUGAUAAGAACCAAACAUGGAUACUUACUUCUCUCCCUACAGAUAAGAAAGUUGUGGGUUGUAAAUGGGUAUUUAUAGUUAAACAAACUCCAGAUGGCAAGGUGGAAAGAUAUAAGGCUAGGCUAGUGGCAAAAGGUUAUAGUCAAACCUAUGGGGUAGAUUAUGAUGAAACGUUUGCACCGGUGGCCAAAUUGAGUAAUGUCAAAACUUUAAUCUCGAUAGUUGUAAGUCAACACUGGAAAUUUUUCCAGAUGGAUGUUAAGAAUGCUUUUCUCCAUGGAGAUCUGCAAGAGGAGGUUUAUAUGGAAAUUUCUCCUGGGUUUAGCAGUCGGGAAACAACGGGUAAAGUAUGUUGGUUAAGAAAGUCUCUCUAUGGACUAAAACAAUCACCUAGGGCUUGGUUUGGAAGGUUUCGAACGGAAAUCUAUUCUAUGGAGUAUCAACAAAGCAAUGCAGAUCAUACCAUGUUCCUUAAAUGUCUGUGUGGUUAG